AACCUGCAUCUCCACCUUAUUAUU
This 24-nucleotide non-coding RNA is filed under the name Gossypium hirsutum (cotton). The record is from RNAcentral. Lineage: Eukaryota; Viridiplantae; Streptophyta; Magnoliopsida; Malvales; Malvaceae.